This 1594-nucleotide ribosomal RNA is filed under the name Gorsachius magnificus. RNAcentral describes it as "16S ribosomal RNA". It matches the Rfam family "Bacterial large subunit ribosomal RNA". The record is from RNAcentral. Lineage: Eukaryota; Metazoa; Chordata; Aves; Pelecaniformes; Ardeidae.
GCCUAAAUCUAGCCCAACCACACACAAUAUUCCAUCUAAAAAAUUUACCUGAACUGCUGAAACCAAAGCAUUAUCAGAACUUAGUAUAGGCGAUAGAAAAGACUACCCUCUGGCGCAAUAGAAAGCUGUACCGUAAGGGAAAGAUGAAAUAGUAAUGAAAAACCAAGCAACAAACAGCAAAGAUAAGCCCUUGUACCUUUUGCAUCAUGAUUUAGCAAGAACAACCAAGCAAAACGAACUUAAGCUUGCCCCCCCGAAACCCAAGCGAGCUACUUACAGGCAGCUACUUUGAGCGAACCCGUCUCUGUUGCAAAAGAGUGGGAUGAUCUGUUAGUAGAGGUGAAAAGCCAACCGAGCUGGGUAAUAGCUGGUUGCCCGUGAAAUGAAUCUAAGUUCUACCUUACUCCCCUCCCGCCAAAUGAACUUCAACCAAUCACCUCAGCGUGGAAUGUUAAGAGCAAUUUAAAGGAGGUACAGCCCCUUUAAAAAAGGACACAACCUCUUCUAGCGGAUAAAACCCCUGCCUCCCAUCCCGUAGGCUUUAAAGCAGCCACCAAUAAAGAGUGCGUCAAAGCUCACCCCAAAAAAAUUCAAAAACACUAUGAUUCCCUUACCCCUAACGGGCCAACCUAUGCCUAUAGGAGAAUUAAUGCUAAAAUAAGUAACCUGGAGUCCCUCUCCUCUCAAGCGCAAACUUACAUACCCCGAUUAUUAACAGACCAACUAAUACUGCCACCCCAACGAGCCUAAAUAUUCCCCCCCCCCUGUUACCCCAACACCGGAGCGCCCAUUAAGAAAGAUUUAAAUCUGUAAAAGGAACUAGGCAAACCCAGGACCCGACUGUUUACCAAAAACAUAGCCUUCGGCCAGCCAAGUAUUGAAGGUGAUGCCUGCCCAGUGACACACGUUCAACGGCCGCGGUAUCCUAACCGUGCGAAGGUAGCGCAAUCAAUUGUCCCAUAAAUCGGGACUUGUAUGAACGGCUAAACGAGGCCCUGACUGUCUCUUACAGAUAAUCAGUGAAAUUGAUCUUCCUGUGCAAAAGCAGGAAUAAGCACAUAAGACGAGAAGACCCUGUGGAACUUUAAAAUCAACGACCACCCCCCAAAUAAACCCAAACCUACUAGGCCUACCACCACAUAAACGCUGGUCCGUAUUUUUCGGUUGGGGCGACCUUGGAGAAAAACAAAUCCUCCAAAAACAAGACCACACCUCUUAACCAAGAGAGACGCCUCCACAUGCUAACAGCAACCAGACCCAAUACAAUUGAUCAAUGAACCAAGCUACCCCAGGGAUAACAGCGCAAUCUCCUUCAAGAGCCCAUAUCGACAAGGAGGUUUACGACCUCGAUGUUGGAUCAGGACAUCCUAAUGGUGCAGCCGCUAUUAAGGGUUCGUUUGUUCAACGAUUAACAGUCCUACGUGAUCUGAGUUCAGACUGGAGUAAUCCAGGUCGGUUUCUAUCUAUGACGAACUUUCCCUAGUACGAAAGGACCGGAAAAGUGAGGCCAUUACCACAGGCACGCCUCCCCCCAAGUAAUGAACCCAACUAAAUUACCAAAAGGGGGUUCCUCCCUUGCCCUAGAUAAGGGCCA